AUGAAGGUCAAGUUGUACAGUUUAAGCGGGUACAAGGUCUACCCUAGACAUGGAAGGCGCUACACCAGGACGGACAGGGAGGUUUUCCAGUUUCUUAACGUAAAGUACACGUCAGCUUUCCUUUCCAAGAGGGACCGUUAGUAGAUAAACCGGAUUGUCCUCUACAGAAGAAAGCACAAAAAGGGACAUUUGGAAGAAAUUCAGAAGAAAAGAAACUGCCAAGCAGUCAGAUUCCAGGGGGCCAUUAGUGAUGCAUCUCUUGCUGAUCUAAUGGCCAAGAGGAAUCAGAAAUUUGAAGUUAAAGAGGCUCAACGAGAACAAGCUCGCAGGGCUGCUAAGGAAGCAAAAUAGGCUAAGCAAGCAUCGAAAAAGAUCCACAAGGGCGUCCCCUAAGCAAAAGAUUGUGAAGCCUGGGAAAGUUUCAGCUCCCCGAGUUGGUGGAAAAAUGCUAA
RNAcentral lists this long non-coding RNA (452 nucleotides) under Homo sapiens (human). Its description in RNAcentral is "non-protein coding lnc-CCDC177-2:1". The record is from RNAcentral. Lineage: Eukaryota; Metazoa; Chordata; Mammalia; Primates; Hominidae.